CAGCCGCCACGGUAAUACGUAGGGUGCGAGCGUUAAUCGGAAUUACUGGGCGUAAAGCGUGCGCAGGCGGUUGUGUAAGACAGGUGUGAAAUCCCCGGGCUUAACCUGGGAACUGCGCUUGUGACUGCACAGCUAGAGUAUGGCAGAGGGGGGUGGAAUUCCACGUGUAACAGUGAAAUGCGUAGAGAUGUGGAGGAACACCGAUGGCGAAGGCAGCCCCCUGGGCCAAUACUGACGCUCAUGCACGAAAGCGUGGGGAGCAAACAGGAUUAGAUACCCGGGUAGUCCCUGUCUCUUAUAC
This 301-nucleotide ribosomal RNA is filed under the name uncultured bacterium. Its description in RNAcentral is "partial 16S ribosomal RNA". It matches the Rfam family "Bacterial small subunit ribosomal RNA", at positions 509 to 807 of the family's 1533-position model. The record is from RNAcentral.